Molecule: small nuclear RNA, 104 nt
Organism: Rattus norvegicus (Norway rat)
Lineage: Eukaryota; Metazoa; Chordata; Mammalia; Rodentia; Muridae
Source: Ensembl
GUGCUUGCUUCAGCAGCACAUAUUCUAAAAUUGGGAUGAUACAGAGAUUAACACGGCCCCUGAAGAAGGAUGACAGGCAAAUUUGAGAAGCCUUCCAUAUUUUU